This 69-nucleotide transfer RNA is filed under the name Bacteroidales bacterium. Its description in RNAcentral is "tRNA-Phe". It matches the Rfam family "tRNA". From Rfam's summary of the family: Transfer RNA (tRNA) molecules are approximately 80 nucleotides in length. Lineage: Bacteria; Pseudomonadati; Bacteroidota; Bacteroidia; Bacteroidales. The record is from RNAcentral.
AACCAGAUAGCUCAGCGGUAGAGCAGUGGCUUGAAAAGCCAUUGGUCGGUGGUUCAAAUCCGCCUCUGG